This is a long non-coding RNA of Tachysurus fulvidraco (yellow catfish), 5882 nucleotides long. RefSeq lists it as uncharacterized. The record is from RefSeq and is a predicted model, not a curated record. The transcript has 3 exons. NCBI's taxonomy places the organism in Eukaryota, Metazoa, Chordata, Actinopteri, Siluriformes, Bagridae.
AGGGCUGUUGGAUAUUGUGAGGAGGAGUAGUGUUGAGGGGUCUUUCCUAAAGUAUACAGUUUUGAGGGUGUUUAGCUUUAGGCUGUUCUGACUGCACCAUAGCACCAGCCUCUUCACCACCUGCCGGUAUGCAGAAUGUCUCAUCGCCAUCUUGGAUAAGACACUGAGCAUAGUAUCAUCUGCAAAUUUUAGGAGUUUAUCAGUUGGGUCAUUUGAAGUGCAGUCAUUAGUAUAGAAGGAGUAUAGACAAAUCCCUGAGGAGCGCCAUUACUGAUUGUCAAAAUACUGGAGGUGACACCUCCCAGUCUCAUCUGUUGUUUCCUGCCUGUCAGGAAGCUGGUGAUCCACUGACAGAUGGAAGAGGGUAUAGUGAGCCUUAGGAGUUUUGAGUGGAGAAUUUCCGGAAUUAUUGUAUUAAAAGCCAAACUGAAGUCGACAAAGAGAGUCCGGGCGUAUUUCCCUGGGCAUUCCAGGUGUUGCAAAAUGUAGUGUAGUCCAAUGUUGACUGCAUCUCCACUGAUCUGUUUGCUCGGUAGGCAAACAGCUGAUCUCUUGUAGUUUGUGAUGUCUUGCAGGCCUUUCCAAACUGAUGCAGGGUUGUUAGCUAAAAAAAUGGUUUUCAGCUUUACAGAGUAGCUUCCUUUGGCUAUUCUGAUCUCUUUUGUCAAAAUAAGAUCAGAAAAUAAUGUAAAUAAGAUGUAAAAAUAGAUGUAAAAAUAAGUCAUGCCGAGGCUGCCAUCCAUGGUGCCAUAUUGGAUCUUAUUAAGGCUAAAUUCAAAGAUUUAUAUACAGAAGUUUUAUAAAGUUUUGUAAAGUUUUAUAUAUAGAAAAUUUGGAACAUUUAUGAUGAUAAUGUACUGUUAUAGGAUUAAUGUAGAUUGACCUUGUGAUUCUUGCUGUAAUCUAUACAAUAUUUCAUCAAAGACCAUUAGCUCUUUAUAUUCCUAUUAUAUACCUAUUCACAUUUCAACCCCACCACUGUUCAAACCAAAUCUACACCCAUAUAAAAACCCGAUUCCAAAAAAGUUGGGACACUGUACAAAUUGUGAAUAAAAAAACGAAUGCAGUAAUUCAAACCUAUAUUUUAUUCACAAUAGAAUAUAGACAACAUACCAAAUGUUGAAAGUGAGACAUUUUGAAAUGUCAUGCCAAAUAUUGGCUCAUUUUUGAUUUCAUGAGAGCUACACAUUUCAAAAAAGUUGGGACAGGUAGCAAUAAGAGGCCAGAAAAAUAGUGGAGCAAUAUCAGAAGGUUUCUCAGAAAAAAAUUGCGUUUGAAAAAAAAAGAGUUUGAAGUUAUCAUCAUCUACAGUGCACAAUAUCAUCCAAAGAUUCAGAGAAUCUGGAACAAUCUCUGUGCAUAAAGGUCAAGGCCGGAAAACCAUACUGGAUGCCCGUGAUCUUCGGGCCCUUAGACGGCACUGCAUCACAUACAGGAAUGCUACUGUAAUGGAAAUCACAACAUGGGCUCAGGAAUACUUCUAGAAAACAAUGUUGGUGAACGCAAUCCACCAUGCCAUUCGCCGUUGCUGGCUAAAAGGAAGACCUUACAUGUUCCAACAUGACAAUGGCAGACCACAUACUGCAUCAAUUACAACAUCAUGGCUGUGUAGAAGAAGUAUCCGGGUACUGAAAUGGCCAGCCUGCAGUCCAGAUCUUUCACCCAUAGAAAACAUUUGAAACAGUUGAGCAACUAGAAGCCUGUAUUAGACAAGAAUGGGACAACAUUCCUAUUCCCAAACUUGAGCAACUUGUCUCUUCAGUCCCCAGACAUUUGCAGACUGUUAUAAAAAGAACAGUGUAUGCCACACAGUGGUAAAUUGUGGCCUUGUCCCAACUUUUUUGAGAUGUGUUGAUGCCAUGAAAUUAAAUUAUUUAAACUAUUACUUAUUUUCCCUUAAAAUGAUACAUUUUUUCAGUUGAAACAUUUGAUAUGUCAUCUAUGUUGUAUUCUGAAUAAAAUAUUGAAAUUAGAAACUUCCAGAUCAUUGCAUUCUGUUUAUAUUCACAAUGUGUACAGUGUCCCAACUUUUUUGGAAUCGGGUUUGUAUAUACUUCAUUGACUUUACAACUGCUGCACCAUUGGGCCGUUCUGGAAAAUGAGUUACUCUCAUAAUAAUAAUAAUAAUAAUAAUAAUAAUAAUAAUAAGAAUAAGAAUAAGAAUAAGAAUAAGAAUAAGAAUAAGAAUAAAAAAUAAAUAAUAAUGUGUGGAAUAGCUUUUAUACCAAAUGAAGGGUACCAUCUGAUCCUCUGCGACCCGGAUGGUUGAUAAAUGGUUCUUUAAUAAACACUCUUUUUCCCUUGGUUUUCAGAGUGCACACAUGGCUCAGCUCUCUCUACCAUGACUCUUGUCUCCACUCUCUUUAUCCUUGCCAUUGCUUAAUGAAACACAAAACACUUGUUGUCAGAUCCUUACCACUCACUUUUCCAGGGUCCACACUGAGGCACAAACCAGCACUUGACUCAUACCCCACUGCUUAAAUCAGGUCUCCUUUACUGAGAGAGGAAAUCUUCUAAAGCCAUCUGCCCUCCUGGGCUGUGGGGAACCUUGAACUUAAAAGUCCCAAGUGAUCUGUGUGCUGGCAUCCUCCAUGCAGUGGAGCCACUGGAGUGGUACUGUAGCAUGGUCAGAACAGAAGUUGAAGGCUCAGCAGAACAGAUUGGAGGGUGAGGCUAAAUGGCUGGAUGCUUCUUCUAGAUUAUUAGCUGUACUUUUAUCUAUCCUAUCUUAUCCAUGCUGCAUUGGCUCUGAGUCAAAUAUUGUAUUUAUUAUAAAAUACUAUUACUGAUCUAUAAAGCACUAAAUGGUCUUGAUGGUGAACUGGGAUGUUUGGAUGUUGUUGCUUUACCACCCUUGCAAGUCGCUCAGGUUUGCUGACUGUGGAGUGGUUGGAUGCUUUAUAUCCUAGGAAGAUCUCAAGUCUGUGUCACCUUCUGGCUCUUGUGUUUAUUUAUGAUUUCAUUUCAUUUCCUUUAACCAUUACACGAUUACAAUAAACCUGCCCCCACCACCACCCACCCACCCACUACCGUGCUCCGAGUCUUCUAAGAUCCGAGUCUGAUUGAUUCUUCUUCUGAACUUACUUCAUCAAUCCUGAUUCCCUACCCCGGGUAAAGUCUUGUUGCCUUUUGGUGCACUCUGUUGGGCAUAGGUCUGCAUGGACAGCCUGUGACUCAUAGGAUUGCUGUGUAUAGAACCGCUUAGAAACUAUCACACCAUCUUUAAACUACUGUUGCAUUAGCCAGCUUUAUGGUUGGGUCUUCAUCAGUGAACAUUUGAAGACUUUGGCAGAAAUCGCCCUUGACCUUUAGUUCCUUAGGAGCUCUUGCUUGCUUAAUUCCACUCAGCUACAAACUGUUGUAGAAAGGACAUUUUUACAUUUACAUUAUUUACUGUCCUUUAUCACCCAAAUGAGGAUGGGUUCCCUUCUGAGCCUGGUUCUUCUCAAGCUUUCCUCUUGAUUUUAUCUUAGGGAGUUUUCCCUUGCUACCAACGCCCUCGGCUUGCUCAUUAUAGGACAGAUACUUAUGCAAAGCUGCUUUGACACAAUGUGAACUGUUGAAAUGCUAUACAAAUAAAUUGAAUUGAAUUUAAUACUCUCUUGUACCAAGAGCUUCCAUUUCCAUAUCCAUUUCCAUUUACAGCAUUUGGGAGACACCCUUAUCCAGAGUGACGUACAAGACAGCUUUUGGCUAAUUUAUGCAUGGGGAGCGCCUUUCACGACCUGUGAAAACACAGUUCCCAGCCCUCUAUUCAGAUUUUUCACUUUAAAAUAAGACUUGCUUUUCACAUCAACAUUGUUACAAAAUUAUAUAACAGUAUGCUGUACAACUGCCAACUCUUUUCUCCAUGAGGUACACUCCAAAAAGAGGAAACUGAAUGAACAAAAUAUUUAACUUAAUAUUAAAACUGAAACUUCAAACAAUGUUUUGUUUGUAUUUAUAUUAUUUAUUAUUUUCUAAUCUUCUAAAGAAUACCAUUAAAAAAAUACAUUGCAUGCUAUAUAUUGUAAGAUAUUGUGACACCACAAUGGAGUAUACAAUGUGAUGAAUGUACAACCAAAACCUACAUGUAUUGUGUUAAUGGUGAUGUUGAGAUAAUAUGCAAAUAACUGCUGGCUAUUUGCAGACUGUUUUGUUUAUUGUUUCUCAAUAGGUAAAGCCAUGAUGAACAGAGUAAUAGGUAUGACUCAUCAUUGGGAUUCCCUGAUGCUGGGAGAUCCUAGCAAUUAAAUACAGAGGAUUUUCUCUUUACUCAUCCAAAUGUAAUGGAACCUUUCUGUCAGAGAUGAUUACAUUUCCUUAGUAACAGAGAUGAUACCAGUUCUGAUAUAGUAACCUUUAAAAGUAUCACAAUGAUUAUGCAGUUUCAUAUAGUUUGAUUUGCUGGUGUGCUAUGAAUCCUUGUACAAUUCAAUUUAAUUCAAUUCAAUUUAUUCAUAUAGGGCAAUUCACAUUUUCUGAAAUCAGCUUUACAUAAAUAUAGAAUUAUAGCCAAUGGUUCACAACUAUUUUGGUGGCACAAGGGGAUCUACUGUACAUAAUAUUAGGUAGUGCAGGAUGUUUUUAUGGCUGAUUGAUGUAAGUGUGCAUGUAUUAUAUAUAUAUAUAAAUAUAUAUAUUUAAAAUAAAUUAUGGGCAUAAAUUAAAGAUGGUACCCUUUACAGUGUAGUGCAGGUGUAGGUGCAGAUGAUAGUUUUACCUCUGUCGAUAGGAUAGAUGUGGUCCUUUUCUCAUUCAUCACUGAUGUAUAUUUUUGCGACAAGUACGACAAGUUUAAUUAAGCAUAAACUGAAUAAGCAGGUCGGAGGAAGCGGUAGAAAAUGAGUGAGAGAGAUGAGUGAGAGUGAGUGAAUAAGCAGGACAUUGGGGCAAUGGUAAAGAAAUUAUUUUAGUAGAAUUUCACACUUUGUGUUAGUGAGUUGCAACUGUACACAAUGUUUGCAUUUUUUUUUAUUUUGUUGCUGAUACUGUGCAAAGGUCACCCUGUAGUAGAGGAGGGGCUUAAUGAAGACAGUCAACAGCCAUUGAAUAUUCAUUUGUUCAGCUUGGGUUCCAUUAUGGAAAUAAACAGAGCAGGGAUUCUCCUCAACGCACUAUGCUGUAUGCAAAUUUGUUUAGGAAAUAUGCUGGUAGCUUUUAUAUAUAUAUAUGUGAAGGGUAGCGAAUGUCUCCAUAUCUGAGCCUGGUUUUGAAAGAACUACUAUAGCAAUCUACAUAAAGCAACAGAAAGAGCUACAUGCAGCAAAACAUGCAGGCAUUCAUAAAGAUUUCUCCUCUAUUGGUGAUGAUUUUGAUUCUGGCUUCCAAUACCUUUUCUUGUCACAUCAAAGUUGAAAACAUAUCCAAAAUGAAGCGAAUCUUGUACAGAUACGAAAGAUUAAACAAAGCUGUGAACAGUUUAUCUCUCUCUCCCUGGACAUACGAAGAUAAUACAGAAACCAUCCAUGGGGCCAAGUGUGAUAAUUUGGGAUGCUCGGGACUUGUGAAUGCCAGACCUGUACCAAUAUUUAUUGAAACCUGUGUUUACCAACAGGAUAAACACUACAACUACACUCUAGUAAAGUACAAUAUUAGUGUAGGCUGCACUUGUAUUAAGGAAAUGAGCUCUUAAAGCCAUUUUUAGGAGACCAUUAAUCUUCCAAGUUAUCUAAAUCCUUGUAAAACAACCUUCAUCACAACAAGGGAAUGUUUGUUAUUCAGUAUAAAUUAAAUGAAUAGCAGGUCAUUUUGAUGUUUCAUAAAUCUUUUAGAUAAUUGUUUUCUCUUAUAGAGUAUAUUUAUCCCAUUUUCUUAAUAUGUGUCUUAAUUAAUAAACAAUUAGGUCAUUUUGUUUGGCUUAUCAUGUAGUGUGUAUUCUGGAUAUUUAGACAUUUUCACAA